UGUGGCUCAAGGGGUCAACUUCUUGCCUAUUGGUGGAUCAGUCACAACGACAGAGGUCGACUCUAACCUCACACAUCAACAAGCCUUGCUCUUCACACAAGAGAUGGCUUCCUUCAGUGAACAGAAGGCUCAAGUACUGUACUUCAGUACAAUUUUGAGUGUCCAAUAAAUGGAUCCAUGAGCGAGGGCAGGAGUUCAGGAGGCGCUGUGGCCUCCAGGAGACGGAUUGACAGCAGACCUCCUCCUCCUCCUCCUCCUCCUGCCUUCCAGUCUGUGGCUGCUGUGAUCUUUAUUUUUAUCUGAAGACUGAGUGUGUGCGUGUUUCACCUGUAACUCCUUUUUUUAAAACAAAUUUCUGAUGCCAAUAUUCAAUAACUAUUCAAAUAUUGAUUCUUCACACUGUUAAUGCAGAAUUAAUGUGUUGAUUAAAAACAGAAUUGAAACCAUAAUUGAAUAAAUAACUUAAUUGAAACUUCACUAUUUUAUUUAGAUGUUAAUAAAUAUGUUAUUAAAUUGACAUGUAGCAUUUAUAAGCAAUAUAUAAAAUAAUAAAACUCUAUAAACAUAUUUUAGUUUUCAGUAUUUAAGAACAACUCCUCUCAUGAAGGAUCUCUACCUGGUUCUAUUUAUAAACAGAUUACACUUCAUUAAUAAAUAUAAUACUUAAUAUAUUUAAUACUUCAUAUAAAACAUGAAGAUAUAUUUUAAAUGAUCACAACGGUGUUAAAUUGUCAGUUUAUUAUCUGCUGCUUAUAAAUCAUAAACGUGGGCGGUAAAGUUUACUGAUUAAUGGAUUCUAACAUGUAAAUGUGUUGAUAGAUUAUCUGCUCAGUUUAAGGGUUAAAAACUCCUGUAAAUGAAAGCAUGAAACAUGAAAGCAGAACUUUAUUUUUAUCAUUUUUAUCAGGCUCUUUUCAGUGUUCAGUUCAGGGAUGAUUUCGUCCAUUUUGAAUAGUUUACACAAUAAAUGCCUUAAAGUGUGCAGAUCGCCCUUAAUUUCAUUAACAAACACUGAAUCUGGAAAUGAAACAAAUAAAGAACAUGUGACGUA
Long non-coding RNA from Micropterus dolomieu (smallmouth bass), 1051 nucleotides. RefSeq lists it as uncharacterized. The transcript has 2 exons. The record is from RefSeq and is a predicted model, not a curated record. NCBI's taxonomy places the organism in Eukaryota, Metazoa, Chordata, Actinopteri, Centrarchiformes, Centrarchidae.